This 88-nucleotide transfer RNA is filed under the name Trametes pubescens. RNAcentral describes it as "tRNA-Thr". It matches the Rfam family "tRNA". Rfam says of the family: Transfer RNA (tRNA) molecules are approximately 80 nucleotides in length. Their secondary structure includes four short double-helical elements and three loops (D, anti-codon, and T loops). The record is from RNAcentral. Lineage: Eukaryota; Fungi; Basidiomycota; Agaricomycetes; Polyporales; Polyporaceae.
UCCCGUUUAGCUCAGCUGGUAGAGCGCGUCACUAGUACGAUCAUAUCGUGUAAUGACGAGGUCAGUCGUUCAAGUCGGCUAAUGGGAA